UUGGGGAAAUUACCGGGUUGAGAUAUGGAAUCGUUAACUCGCCCUGAGCUGACUCGCCGCGAAAACGGUGGUACCCGAUGGAAUUGGAAUCUGUCGAGACAAACGGGUUGUAAUGAUGGAAAUCCGGAUUCAAUUUCUGGGUAAUUGGGAUGAAUUCGUCCAAUUCGGAAUUAAAAAUCUCGAUGUGUCGGAAUUUACUGUCGGCUCUUCGGGUAGCGACGACAAGUCGUUUGCUGUCGUUCAUGGCAGCCGGAGUAAAGCAAUGCAGACCCGCCG
Molecule: unclassified non-coding RNA, 276 nt
Filed under: Hevea brasiliensis (rubber tree)
Lineage: Eukaryota; Viridiplantae; Streptophyta; Magnoliopsida; Malpighiales; Euphorbiaceae
Source: RNAcentral